RNAcentral lists this ribosomal RNA (777 nucleotides) under Salmonella enterica. RNAcentral describes it as "bacterial SSU rRNA". It matches the Rfam family "Bacterial small subunit ribosomal RNA", at positions 1 to 767 of the family's 1533-position model. Lineage: Bacteria; Pseudomonadati; Pseudomonadota; Gammaproteobacteria; Enterobacterales; Enterobacteriaceae. The record is from RNAcentral.
AAAUUGAAGAGUUUGAUCAUGGCUCAGAUUGAACGCUGGCGGCAGGCCUAACACAUGCAAGUCGAACGGUAACAGGAAGCAGCUUGCUGCUUCGCUGACGAGUGGCGGACGGGUGAGUAAUGUCUGGGAAACUGCCUGAUGGAGGGGGAUAACUACUGGAAACGGUGGCUAAUACCGCAUAACGUCGCAAGACCAAAGAGGGGGACCUUCGGGCCUCUUGCCAUCAGAUGUGCCCAGAUGGGAUUAGCUUGUUGGUGAGGUAACGGCUCACCAAGGCGACGAUCCCUAGCUGGUCUGAGAGGAUGACCAGCCACACUGGAACUGAGACACGGUCCAGACUCCUACGGGAGGCAGCAGUGGGGAAUAUUGCACAAUGGGCGCAAGCCUGAUGCAGCCAUGCCGCGUGUAUGAAGAAGGCCUUCGGGUUGUAAAGUACUUUCAGCGGGGAGGAAGGUGUUGUGGUUAAUAACCGCAGCAAUUGACGUUACCCGCAGAAGAAGCACCGGCUAACUCCGUGCCAGCAGCCGCGGUAAUACGGAGGGUGCAAGCGUUAAUCGGAAUUACUGGGCGUAAAGCGCACGCAGGCGGUCUGUCAAGUCGGAUGUGAAAUCCCCGGGCUCAACCUGGGAACUGCAUUCGAAACUGGCAGGCUUGAGUCUUGUAGAGGGGGGUAGAAUUCCAGGUGUAGCGGUGAAAUGCGUAGAGAUCUGGAGGAAUACCGGUGGCGAAGGCGGCCCCCUGGACAAAGACUGACGCUCAGGUGCGAAAGCGUGGGGA